UGCAAGUCGAGCGGUAGCACAGAGAGCUUGCUCUCGGGUGACGAGCGGCGGACGGGUGAGUAAUGUCUGGGAAACUGCCUGAUGGAGGGGGAUAACUACUGGAAACGGUAGCUAAUACCGCAUAAUGUCGCAAGACCAAAGUGGGGGACCUUCGGGCCUCAUGCCAUCAGAUGUGCCCAGAUGGGAUUAGCUAGUAGGUGGGGUAACGGCUCACCUAGGCGACGAUCCCUAGCUGGUCUGAGAGGAUGACCAGCCACACUGGAACUGAGACACGGUCCAGACUCCUACGGGAGGCAGCAGUGGGGAAUAUUGCACAAUGGGCGCAAGCCUGAUGCAGCCAUGCCGCGUGUAUGAAGAAGGCCUUCGGGUUGUAAAGUACUUUCAGCGGGGAGGAAGGCGAUAAGGUUAAUAACCUUGUCGAUUGACGUUACCCGCAGAAGAAGCACCGGCUAACUCCGUGCCAGCAGCCGCGGUAAUACGGAGGGUGCAAGCGUUAAUCGGAAUUACUGGGCGUAAAGCGCACGCAGGCGGUCUGUCAAGUCGGAUGUGAAAUCCCCGGGCUCAACCUGGGAACUGCAUUCGAAACUGGCAGGCUAGAGUCUUGUAGAGGGGGGUAGAAUUCCAGGUGUAGCGGUGAAAUGCGUAGAGAUCUGGAGGAAUACCGGUGGCGAAGGCGGCCCCCUGGACAAAGACUGACGCUCAGGUGCGAAAGCGUGGGGAGCAAACAGGAUUAGAUACCCUGGUAGUCCACGCCGUAAACGAUGUCGAUUUGGAGGUUGUGCCCUUGAGGCGUGGCUUCCGGAGCUAACGCGUUAAAUCGACCGCCUGGGGAGUACGGCCGCAAGGUUAAAACUCAAAUGAAUUGACGGGGGCCCGCACAAGCGGUGGAGCAUGUGGUUUAAUUCGAUGCAACGCGAAGAACCUUACCUGGUCUUGACAUCCACAGAACUUAGCAGAGAUGCUUUGGUGCCUUCGGGAACUGUGAGACAGGUGCUGCAUGGCUGUCGUCAGCUCGUGUUGUGAAAUGUUGGGUUAAGUCCCGCAACGAGCGCAACCCUUAUCCUUUGUUGCCAGCGGUUAGGCCGGGAACUCAAAGGAGACUGCCAGUGAUAAACUGGAGGAAGGUGGGGAUGACGUCAAGUCAUCAUGGCCCUUACGACCAGGGCUACACACGUGCUACAAUGGCAUAUACAAAGAGAAGCGACCUCGCGAGAGCAAGCGGACCUCAUAAAGUAUGUCGUAGUCCGGAUUGGAGUCUGCAACUCGACUCCAUGAAGUCGGAAUCGCUAGUAAUCGUAGAUCAGAAUGCUACGGUGAAUACGUUCCCGGGCCUUGUACACACCGCCCGUCACACCAUGGGAGUGGGUUGCAAAAGAAGUAGG
RNAcentral lists this ribosomal RNA (1382 nucleotides) under Klebsiella pneumoniae. RNAcentral describes it as "bacterial SSU rRNA". It matches the Rfam family "Bacterial small subunit ribosomal RNA", at positions 56 to 1430 of the family's 1533-position model. Lineage: Bacteria; Pseudomonadati; Pseudomonadota; Gammaproteobacteria; Enterobacterales; Enterobacteriaceae. The record is from RNAcentral.